GCACAAGCGGUGAGCAUGUGGUUAAUUCGAAGCAACGCGAAGAACCUUACCGGUCUUGACAUCCCGAUGCUAUUUCUAGAGAUAGAAAGUUACUUCGGUACAUCGGUGACAGGCGGUGCAUGGUUGUCGUCAGCUCGUGUCGUGAGAUGUUGGGUUAAGUCCCGCAACGAGCGCAACCCCUAUUGUUAGUUGCCAUCAUUCAGUUGGGCACUCUAGCGAGACUACCGGUAAUAAACCGGAGGAAGUGGGAUGACGUCAAAUCAUCAUGCCCCUUAUGACCUGGGCUACACACGUGCUACAAUGGUUGGUACAACGAGUUGCGAGUCGGUGACGGCGAGCUAAUCUCUUAAAGCCAAUCUCAGUUCGGAUUGUAGGCUGCAACUCGCCUACAUGAAGUCGGAAUCGCUAGUAAUCGCGGAUCAGCACGCCGCGGUGAAUACGUUCCCGGGCCUU
RNAcentral lists this ribosomal RNA (453 nucleotides) under uncultured Streptococcus sp. RNAcentral's name for it is "bacterial SSU rRNA". It matches the Rfam family "Bacterial small subunit ribosomal RNA", at positions 923 to 1382 of the family's 1533-position model. Lineage: Bacteria; Bacillati; Bacillota; Bacilli; Lactobacillales; Streptococcaceae. The record is from RNAcentral.